This 775-nucleotide ribosomal RNA is filed under the name Salmonella enterica subsp. enterica serovar Senftenberg. RNAcentral's name for it is "partial 23S ribosomal RNA". It matches the Rfam family "Bacterial large subunit ribosomal RNA", at positions 416 to 1190 of the family's 2925-position model. RNAcentral also lists the same sequence under 3 other names. The record is from RNAcentral. Lineage: Bacteria; Pseudomonadati; Pseudomonadota; Gammaproteobacteria; Enterobacterales; Enterobacteriaceae.
GGCGGGACACGUGGUAUCCUGUCUGAAUAUGGGGGGACCAUCCUCCAAGGCUAAAUACUCCUGACUGACCGAUAGUGAACCAGUACCGUGAGGGAAAGGCGAAAAGAACCCCGGCGAGGGGAGUGAAAAAGAACCUGAAACCGUGUACGUACAAGCAGUGGGAGCACAGGUUUACCUGUGUGACUGCGUACCUUUUGUAUAAUGGGUCAGCGACUUAUAUUCUGUAGCAAGGUUAACCGAAUAGGGGAGCCGGAGGGAAACCGAGUCUUAAUUGGGCGUUAAGUUGCAGGGUAUAGACCCGAAACCCGGUGAUCUAGCCAUGGGCAGGUUGAAGGUUGGGUAACACUAACUGGAGGACCGAACCGACUAAUGUUGAAAAAUUAGCGGAUGACCUGUGGCUGGGGGUGAAAGGCCAAUCAAACCGGGAGAUAGCUGGUUCUCCCCGAAAGCUAUUUAGGUAGCGCCUCGUGAAUUCAUCUCCGGGGGUAGAGCACUGUUUCGGCUAGGGGGCCAUCCCGGCUUACCAACCCGAUGCAAACUGCGAAUACCGGAGAAUGUUAUCACGGGAGACACACGGCGGGUGCUAACGUCCGUCGUGAAGAGGGAAACAACCCAGACCGCCAGCUAAGGUCCCAAAGUCAUGGUUAAGUGGGAAACGAUGUGGGAAGGCCCAGACAGCCAGGAUGUUGGCUUAGAAGCAGCCAUCAUUUAAAGAAAGCGUAAUAGCUCACUGGUCGAGUCGGCCUGCGCGGAAGAUGUAACGGGGCUAAACCAU